GACGAACGCUGGCGGCGUGCUUAACACAUGCAAGUCGAACGGAAAGGCCCUGCUUUUGUUGGUCUCUCGAGUGGCGAACGCGUGAGUAACACGUGAGUAACCUGCCCUUGACUUUGGGAUAACUUCAGGAAACUCGGGCUCAUACCGGAUAUGAGCUCCUGCUGCAUGGUGGGGGUUGGUGAGUUUCGGCGGUUGGGGAUGGACUCGCGGCUUAUCAGCUUGUUGGUGGGGUAGUGGCUUACCAAGGUUUUGACGGGUAGCCGGCCUGAGAGGGUUACCGGCCACAUUGGGACUGAGAUACGGCCCAGACGCCUACGGGAGGCAGAAGUGGGGAGUAUUGCAGAAUGGGCGGAAGCCAGAUGCAGCAACGCCGCGUGCGGGAAGACGGCCUUCGGGUUGUAAACCGCUUUCUCCUGUGACGAAGCGUGCGUGACGGUAAUGGGUAAAGAAGCAACGGCUAACUACGUG
RNAcentral lists this ribosomal RNA (468 nucleotides) under uncultured bacterium. RNAcentral's name for it is "partial 16S ribosomal RNA". It matches the Rfam family "Bacterial small subunit ribosomal RNA", at positions 28 to 507 of the family's 1533-position model. The record is from RNAcentral.